The sequence is a regulatory RNA element, 84 nucleotides long. It matches the Rfam family "Cyclic di-GMP-II riboswitch aptamer". The record is from Rfam.
CAUAGAUUUGGAAGCGAGGAAUGGCUAUUUGUAUGUGGGCACUUAAAUAGCUGGGAGCGAGUAGUGCAACCGACCGUCAAGUUG